RNAcentral lists this ribosomal RNA (279 nucleotides) under uncultured bacterium. RNAcentral's name for it is "partial 16S ribosomal RNA". It matches the Rfam family "Bacterial small subunit ribosomal RNA", at positions 506 to 784 of the family's 1533-position model. The record is from RNAcentral.
UGCCAGCCGCCGCGGUAAUACGAAUGGGGCAAGCGUUGUUCGGAAUCACUGGGCUUAAAGCGUACGUAGGCGGACUUGAAAGUCAGGAGUGAAAUCCCAGGGCUCAACCCUGGAACUGCUCUUGAAACUCCAAGUCUUGAAUUCUGGAGAGGUUAGUGGAAUUCCUAGUGUAGAGGUGAAAUUCGCAGAUAUUAGGAGGAACACCAGUGGCGAAGGCGACUAACUGGACAGAUAUUGACGCUGAGGUACGAAAGCGUGGGGAGCAAACAGGAUUAGAUA